This 406-nucleotide ribosomal RNA is filed under the name uncultured bacterium. Its description in RNAcentral is "partial 16S ribosomal RNA". It matches the Rfam family "Bacterial small subunit ribosomal RNA", at positions 30 to 526 of the family's 1533-position model. The record is from RNAcentral.
AUUGAACGCUGGCGGCAGGCCUAACACAUGCAAGUCGAACGAGUGGCGGACGGGUGAGUAAUGUAUGGGAAACUGACCGAUGGAGGGGGAUAACUACUGGACACGAUUACUAAUACCGCAUUCCAUCGGCUGUGCCCAGAUGGGAUGUGCUAGUGGGUGGGGUAACGGCUGGCCUAGGCGACGAUCCAUAGCUGGUCUGAGAGGAUGACCAGCCACACUGGAACUGUGACACGUUCCAGACUCCUACGGGAGGAAGCAGUGGGGAAUAUUGCACAAGGGGCGCAAGCCUGAUGCAGCCAUGCCGCGUGUAUGAAGAAGGCCUUCGGGUUGUAAAGUACUUUCAGCGAGGAGGCGUUACUCGCAGAAGAAGCACCGGCUAACUCCGUGCCAGCAGCCGCGGUAAUUC